CCAAAGAUACAAAAUAUCAAGCUCCUAACUCAGCCUGCGAAGUCAAGACUGGCCGGAGAAUAUUUACACAUAUAUAUACAUACAUAUCCAAAACCCAAAAGUACAUAUACACAAUCCUGCCUCUCCAUAAACCUCUAAGAGGAUCAAAAAGAAUAAGUCAUGCGGAGAGAAAACUAAGUACAUAUAUAUACAUCAUAGCAUAACAAAAUAUCCCAGUAACCACUCCGCUUCAAGAGUCCAGACGCCUAACGAGAUGCCUCUCGACCUGCAUCU
This 273-nucleotide long non-coding RNA is filed under the name Arachis ipaensis. Its description in RNAcentral is "long non-coding RNA (AIPA_LNC000367)". The record is from RNAcentral. Lineage: Eukaryota; Viridiplantae; Streptophyta; Magnoliopsida; Fabales; Fabaceae.